This is a long non-coding RNA of Choloepus didactylus (southern two-toed sloth), 1914 nucleotides long. RefSeq lists it as uncharacterized. The transcript has 3 exons. The record is from RefSeq and is a predicted model, not a curated record. Lineage: Eukaryota; Metazoa; Chordata; Mammalia; Pilosa; Megalonychidae.
UCUAAAGGGAUACUGUUCUACUACAGAACCAACCAGGUGACAGAAUACUAUUAAUUUUCACAUUCUUCUUAGAAGACGUGGUGAUAAAUAUGAAACCUCACCAAUUUGGCGCAACAUGUUUUAUACUAUUGAAUCCAUUAAUGUUUUUUCCCCAGAGGGGCAGCACAAACUUCUAAUAUGAGACUAAAGAGCUCUCGUUUCUGGUGUAAAUGUCCCUUCCCAAGCCCCAGAACAGAGAAACCCAGAAGUCGUACAGCUUUUGCUUUCUUCUGCAGAUCAACUAUUUGUGAGAGCAGGUGUGUGAUCUCCUCUUGCUGGCGGGCAGCAUCUUCAGUCUUCUUGGCCAAUUCCUCGGAGAUAGUGGCAAUCUGGACAUUGGCAUCCCCUGUGCCCAAGCAAUGAAAAUGACAAGGAAAAGUCAGAAAACUACAUGUGCAGAUCCAGAGAGAAUGGUUUCUUUGUGACGAACAGAUCUGACAUCAGCAGAACCUCUGCUGCACCCUGUUCCAGAAAGGAGCCACUGCCCGCACACAACAUAAUUCCCUUGGGCGUUUGCAACCCUAUUCAGAGGCGUAACUCAUUUUACUAGAAUUGAGCAUGGGGUGAUAGUCUCCGUCUUCAGCUGGCAGGCCUGUGAACAGGGCUCGGGUCAGGCGCCCCCAUCCAUACCUGGACUGCCAUGGGGAAGGGCUAGCCCAGGUCCGGGAAGCCACCCGGCAGCAUCUCCCUGCCUGUCACCCGCUGCAUCCUCAAAUGCGGAAGGUCUACCCGAAUUCUUGGUUAGUUGAUGGAACUUGGAUUCUGGAAUCUGAAGGGCUGAAACGUGUACCACUAGAGGGCGCCACACAAAGCAAUGUGCACAAGAGCCAAACCACUGCUUGGUUAAACUCGUCAGUGUAACAAUGAUAAAUGUCUGUUUGUCUAUGCGUGUGUUCCAGCCCAUGGAUAUGGCCUCCUUUGUGACCCUAACAGUGCCCACCCACCACAGGUAUUCUAAGCAUAACCACAACAAGCAUGGCGAACAUUUAUCAUGCCCAUAUUAUGAACCGGGUUCCUGGUUGGAGCUGAAUCUGUCAUAUUCAGCUUCAUAAGAACAAGGUACAGUGUGAAAGCAUGAGAAUUCAGAGAUCCAGGGGCUACCUCAGGGCUCCGGAUUGCUUGCAUGGGGCAGAUAAGGUGGAAAGAUGGAGAUCUGAAGGCUCAAAGAAGAUGCCCAGUGAGAGAGAAGGUGUCCCGUAGCCGGCAUCAGAUUCCUUGGCUUGCUGCAACUGAAGCUCCUGAGAGGGACGAUCGCUGUGUGCCCUGAACUGGAGCAUUUACCUGAGGCAGGUGGACACGCUGGGCUGUAUGUAGUCUGGGUUCAGCCACCAGACUGGCAUAAAAACUCGGCAAACCUCUAGGUCGCAAUGGGUUUAUGUUUCUUAUCAUUAAACGAAGGGCUGGUAAAGGUGAGGUCUAUGGGAACAUGACCCUUCCUGAACACGGAAAAGGAUCUUGCUAAGCAAGUCCAGAUGGAGGAUCCUUUCAAAAGGCAGGUACAGGUGACAUGCUCUGCCCUCCUAGUGGAGCUUCUGGAGCCCUAGGACCUACGUGGGAGACCUAUCCAGCAAGGGCCUGACAAACAGGAGCAUCGCACCUCCACCGAGGGAGCUUUUAUAAACUCACAGAGAAUUUAAGACAAACAGGACUAAGAGCACAUGGACUCAGGGGCAGUGGGUGAAGGAAAAAGAGACUUGCAAAUCCUGGCUUUGUCACCUACUAACUAGCAGAACCAAAACAGCUAUCAACCUGGGUCCUGGGUUUCUCACCAUAAAUGAGAACCAAAGUGAUGAGCUUUCAGCCUUGUUGUGUGAAUAUUAAAAAAAAAAAAAAAAAAAAAAACUACUAUAAGCAAUGUGUCUGGCAGAAUGCCUA